AGUGAUUCGGCGCACUGGUGUCACUAAAAAUUUCUUUUCCACUCGAAUGAUGGACAUUCGUGAUUCGCUUAAAUGUAUAUUAGCGUUUACAUGCAAUAUUCAGUGGGUAUGAGCGGUGCUGGCGUUAAUUUUGACGUUGCAGAGGGUAUUAACUCAGCGAUAAUUUCGUGGCAACAUAUUAGCGGAUGAGAUUUGGUGGAAGAAAAUUUCCAAAAAUUUCUAAUCGUCCGGAGAACCUUGAAUAUUGAAUUUUGAAAAUGACGUAAAUAUUGCAAAAUAAAUGGAUUCGCCAAUGAAGAAGAAGUUCUGAAAAAUUUCAAGUGUUUUUGCAUUUGAAAAGGAAAAACCAGAGAUCAUGCCGGUUAUCACUUGAUUCAAUUACAUGUUUCUGCACUUAAAUUUAUUUCUUAUCGGGAUAAAUGCAACCAGAUCAACACAAACGCAUUCACACCAUAUCAACAUUUUGAUUGACUCUAAUGAAUUCCGUGAACUUAACCUGAAUUCUAUUCCGAGAGCAUAAAAUUACAGCACUAAUUGAAUAUCUAUUUUUAUCCUGCAUCAGUCAUUCGCAUGUAAAUUCAGUUGAGAAGUGAAAUUGUUACGUUGCAAAUGCUUUCGAGAGUGAAUUUGGAUUAUUUCAACUGUUUGCAUCACUGUUGAUGUAACGUCAGACGAGGAACAGUCAUUCCGGUUGCAGUAUCAGAAGGGACUAUAUGCCCAAUGCUGCCGGAGGCGAAGCCCUUCGAUGUAAUUAUACCAGCCAAGCCUCAA
Molecule: long non-coding RNA, 771 nt
Organism: Fopius arisanus
Lineage: Eukaryota; Metazoa; Arthropoda; Insecta; Hymenoptera; Braconidae
Exons: 3
Source: RefSeq, a predicted model, not a curated record